RNAcentral lists this ribosomal RNA (460 nucleotides) under uncultured bacterium. RNAcentral describes it as "partial 16S ribosomal RNA". It matches the Rfam family "Bacterial small subunit ribosomal RNA", at positions 338 to 795 of the family's 1533-position model. The record is from RNAcentral.
CCUACGGGAUGCAGCAGUGAGGAAUAUUGGUCAAUGGACGAGAGUCUGAACCAGCCAAGUAGCGUGAAGGAUGACUGCCCUAUGGGUUGUAAACUUCUUUUAUAUGGGAAUAAAAUGUUCCACGUGUGGGCUUUUGUAUGUACCCUAUGAAUAAGGAUCGGCUAAAUCCGUGCCAGCAGCCGCGGUAAUACGGAGGAUCCGAGCGUUAUCCGGAUUUAUUUGGGUUAAAGGGAGCGUAGGUGGAUUGUUAAGUCAGUUGGGAAAGUUUGCGGCUCAAACGUAAAAUUGCCGUUGAAACUGGUAGUCUGGAGUACAGUAGAGGUGGGCGGAAUGCGUGGUGUAGCGGUGAAAUGCUUAGAUAUCACGAAGAACUCCGAUUGCGAAGGCAGCUCACCGGACUGCAACUGACACUGAGGCUCGAAAGUGUGGGUAUCAAACAGGAUUAGAUACCCUUGUAGUC